AAUUUCAGCGCUACAAUAUAAAGAAUAUAUAAAUCUUUUAAAAGAACUCCUGAAAUUUGAAGAAAUGCUCGAUUUGAUGAAGAUGACAGCGCCAAGCUCGGUGAUGCAGCGUGCAAACUCAUACUCCGUCCAUAGAACGUGCUCGAUCUUGGCCUCGGAGCUCAUGGAGGAGGAAGAGAAAGUAGAGAAGGAGAGAAGAGGGCUUUUCAUGAGUUUCUACGAUUUACGGUUUAGAUUAAGGUUAAAAUGCGUGGACCAUUAAUUAGACGUUAUGUGCGGAGAAAAGACGAAGGGUUGGGUUAAGGUGGGUGGACCAUUAAUUAGACGUUAUGGGUGGAGGGAAGCGAAGACAUUAUGGGUGGAGAGAAAGCGAAGAGUUGGGUUAAGGUGGGUGAACUAUUAAUUAAACGUUAUGAGUGGGGGAAGGCGAAGGGUUGGUUUCGCAAUGUGAAACCUAAAACUAAAGGAAACACAGCCACAUGGCAUUUUUUUGAGGAUUAAUGUAUAAGUAUAGGUAUAGAUAAUAAUAAUAAAUAAAAAUAAGGGUACAUAAUUUUAUGGA
RNAcentral lists this long non-coding RNA (562 nucleotides) under Ananas comosus (pineapple). RNAcentral describes it as "long non-coding RNA (ACOM_LNC028702)". The record is from RNAcentral. Lineage: Eukaryota; Viridiplantae; Streptophyta; Magnoliopsida; Poales; Bromeliaceae.